CGGUCUUCAAACGUGGGGGAUGCUCAGGGGACCCGCGGUCCCGCCCCGUGGCCGCGGGUGGUGACCGCGGGUGUCUCCUGAGUCGGGAACAGCUGACCCGCGGUCUUACCCCGCGGCCGCGGGUGGUGACCGCGGGGUACUGGGCGUUUUGCACAGUCCGCUCGUUUUGCUCCGUUCUCCCUCGUCCGGACUCGGAUUUGGUCGCCGUUUGCGCUCACGGAUUCCUCUCGAGACGUACUUCAAUCUCAUAUCUUCAAAAUCCUCCAAUUAAUCCUUUAUUUUUCCUGAAAUUACUCCAAAACUACACCAAGAUAUCAAAUCUUCAUAAAACUAAAUAUUCGGGCACAAACAAGCAUUCACAAGCAAAACAUGAAGGGAAAUGACAACAAAACAUGUGGAAUUAAGGUAUGAAAACCAUGUUUGUCAACCCCCCAAACUUAAAGUGUUGUUUGUCCCCAAACGACGAAGAGAAGAGAAAUAAAAGUAAACAAACAUGUGAGCAUGA
This 505-nucleotide long non-coding RNA is filed under the name Salvia miltiorrhiza (redroot sage). Its description in RNAcentral is "long non-coding RNA (SMIL_LNC003382)". The record is from RNAcentral. Lineage: Eukaryota; Viridiplantae; Streptophyta; Magnoliopsida; Lamiales; Lamiaceae.